ACAAACUCCACUAAAACUCUCUCAAUCAUCCAAAAUCGCAGCUGAAAUCACAAGUUCGAGCAGAUUGUUCAGCCUUCACUAAAAAGGACUUGGUGUUCCAACCUCCUAAUCAACAACAACUCACUCGCGGAUUCACAAGUAGAAGACUUGCAAAACCGAAUUUGUAUGGGACCAUGUCGAGACGGACUCGAGCACGAGAGGCUAACGGGUCAAGAAGAGAGGCAAGAGAGUGGAUACGAGCGCAGAUGCAUAAGGUAAGUGACUUCCGACUCACUUCUUAGUAUACAUGUAGAAUUUUCUUGUUUAUGGAUGAGAGGAAAUUAUGUAUGGGUAUGUAAUGAAUGAAGGUGUUAAGAUAAGUAUUGAACUAGUUAGACGAAGGUAGUUAUCUAAGUAGAAGGUAAUUGUGGGAUUAAACGGGUCGAAUAAAUAAGUAUAAGUAAGGUAACGGUUAUGAAAUCCGUAAUGAUUAAGGACCCGGGGUAAGGAUUCUUAGUCUAAUAUGUAAGGAAUUGUUUUACGGACAUUUAGGAACAAGUUUCGAGUGAUUUGGACGCGAAAUGAACAAGUUAUGAGUAUUUUGUUAACAAAUUGGAAAGCUGAACUGGGGACUACCGUAGCUUACGGUAGCCACCGUAAGCUACGGUAGGUGCUGGGUCUUUGUUUCUGCCGUAAGGCAGUAGGAAGGCACCGUAAGACUUUUGGGGCCACCGUAAGCUACGGUAGCCACCGUAGCUUACGGUGGAGGUCAGAUGCAAAAUAUAAAGUUUAUGUAAUCCUUCGUUUUUCUUCGAAUUCGAACCCCGUGAACCCAUUCCAAGCCUCGAUAAGUUUUUAUAAUGCACCUCAACCCUACCAAAUGGCUUGGUAAGUUACGGGUAAAUAUGGAACUCAAUUUUUAAGAUCCAAAACGUACACGAAAGACACUUAAAAAGUGUAUAUGACGUCUGAGUAAGAACGUGACGAGAGAGUGAGUAUGCGGGAAAUGAAUUAAGUAUGUGGGAAUGUAUGUAUAGAUUUAACUUCAUACCAAUAGCUGUAACUUAUACGUAAUUAUGAAUAGGAGUGUGUAUGUAUAUAAUAUUGUUCGUACAUGUCUUAUUACAUGGUGCUUUGUAAUUAGGAUACGUUAGUAAAUCAUCUGGAAUUAUGUAAGUUGUAUGUGAGAGCUUGUAUAUACGUACGUAUGUAUGUGUGUAUGUAUUAUGUGAUCAAAAGUAUACAUACGGAUGUGCGUAGGUACGAAGUAGUUUUGAUUGUACAUGAAGGAAUGGGGCUUGUAUAUACGUAUACAUAGCUUCAAUAUGUUUGAGUACUAAGUUACUAAUCAUUUGCCUUGAGAAUGAAAUGAAAUUUGCAGGUAUGCUAUUGAAGUCCAUUGUGAAGUUUUGAGGAAUUGGAAUGCAAGAUUGUACUCGGAAGGAUGAUCGAAAAGUCUUGCACGAAUAGAAAGUUUGCGGCGUGGUCAAUUAAUUAUGUAUGAUAGAUUAUGAAUGUAGAUUAUCAAAUUUUAAUGAUGUGUGUAUUUGUGGUGUAUGUAGGAUACACGGACUAACAUCGGUAUAAAGUAUUGGAGGAUUGAAGAUCGAGUCAAGGGCAAGAAUUGUACGGGAAGAGCAGUCACAUAUCUGGGGAUCGUAUAUGUAAUUGAUGUGAUAAUCAAGAAUAAACGUUGUAAAUCUUUUAAUAAAAUGUGGGUUAUUCUAGAAACGAACUUACAAAUAAGUUAUAUAAGUAAUAUAGAAAGAAAUUUUU
Molecule: long non-coding RNA, 1755 nt
Filed under: Helianthus annuus (common sunflower)
Lineage: Eukaryota; Viridiplantae; Streptophyta; Magnoliopsida; Asterales; Asteraceae
Description: hypothetical non coding rna
Source: RNAcentral